UUCAUUCUUUAAUCACUGUUUGAUAAUGCAUUAGUAAGGGCCUACUAAGUACAACAUCUGGGUGCAAUGAAGUGAACUGCCAAUGGAAGUUUCAUUUCACAAAGCUGUCUUUUUCAAGGUUAUGCCUUCUUUUGAGUCGAAAUAUUGAUGGAAGGCGGGAGAAAGGAGGUCAACAACAGUGUCACCCUUGGAAAUUAUUUGGAUCAAAAACUCCAAUUGGAGAUGAAUGAUUGGUUUCUUUUUCUUGAUGGGUUAGAGAUGGAGAAAGAGGUAGAUUUCUGGAGGUGGAGAUUUUUG
This 297-nucleotide unclassified non-coding RNA is filed under the name Hevea brasiliensis (rubber tree). Lineage: Eukaryota; Viridiplantae; Streptophyta; Magnoliopsida; Malpighiales; Euphorbiaceae. The record is from RNAcentral.